AUCUCCAUUGUUUAUUUUGUGUCUAUUUCUGUCUGCCAUUUUAGUUUGGUGGUUUUCUAUGAUGUUUUUCUUAGUUUCCUCUUUCGUUAUUUUUCGUGUCUCUGAUAUAGAAUUAUAUGGUAUGGUUACCAUGAGGUUUGUAUACAUUUCUCAUAAAGUGGUUCUUUUCCUGCUGAUCGUCUCUCCAUUUGCCUAUAUGACUUCUGUCCUUUUCCUUUUCAGCAAUGUUUUUGUGGUCCCAAAUUAUCCCUUUUUAUGUUGUAAGCAGGUUACCAAAUUGAAGUCGCUUUAUUUUUACUGCUUUUUCCCCUUUAACCUUUAUGUUGUAAUUAAGUGUUUAACAACCUAUUCUAAUACAGAGUUACAGUUUUCUAAUUCUGUCUAUCACCUUACUCAAAAGUUUUGUGUACUUUUGCCUUUUCAUUUCAGAAGGAAGUUGUCCUUUCACCAUUUCUGGUAAGGCAGGCCUAGUGGUCAUGAACUCCCUCAGCUUUCGUUUGUCUGGAAAAGCCUUUAUUUCUCCUUCGUAUCUAAGGAUAACUUUGCUGGGUAUUCUUGGCUCACAGUUUUUAUCUUUCAAUAUUUUGAGUAUGUCAUUCCGCUCACUCCUGUCCUGUAGUGUUUCUACUGAGAAAUCUGGUAGUCUAAUGGGGGUUCCUUUGUAGGUUGCUCUUUUUUUUUCCCUUGGCUGUCUUUAAAAUUCUUCCUUUGCCACUGACUUUUGACAGUUUAAUAUGAUGUAUCUGAGAGAAGGUCUUUUUGUUUUGAGGUAAUUAGGUGUUCUCUUAGCUUCAUGGACUUACACAUCCAGUUCAUUCACCAGGUUUGGGAAGUUCUCGGCUAUUAUUUCUUUAAAUAAACUCUCUUUUCCCUUCUCCCUCUCUUCUGGGAUACCCAUUAUUCUUAUGUUGCUCUUCCUAGUAGAGCCUGAUAGUUCUUGUAGAAUUUCUUCUUCUUUUUUUAGAUCUUAUUCUUUCCUUUUCUACCUGUGUCAUUUCUAGAUUUCUGUCUUCAAGCUCACUUGAAGAGAUUUCUCUCUUCCAUACCACCUGCUUUAUUUCCAAUGCUUUCUACAGUUCCAGAAGUUAGUUUCUUUUUUUACAGUUUCAAUUUGUUUGAUGAAGUAUUCUUUCUGUUCAUUAAUUUUAUUCCUGAACUCUUUGAAAUGCCUUUCUGAAUUUUCUUGUAGCUCAUUGUAUUUCUUCACGACAGCCAGUCUGAAUUCUCUGUCAGUUAGAUUGCAAUAUUCUGUGAUUUUAAGUUUGGUAUUUGGAAAAUUGUCAUUUUCUUUUUGUGAUACCAUGGUGUUUCAUGGUGCUUGAUGAAUUUUUCCUCUGCUGGUGCAUUUGAAGUAGUGAAUACUUUUAAAGCUUUUUUUUACUUGAUUCUAACAAUUCAACAGGUUAGUAGUUGGAGGCCUUUUCUUUUGUUUUCCAAUAGGUGGUGCUGUAGCACAAGUUUUUGGUUUCUCUUACCCGAACUGCCUCUGGUUAUGUUUGAGAAUCAACGCUUUCCACCCUCCACUACCUCUGCUGGGGGUGUCACCUGGUGCCCUCCUUGUUGCUGCUUGUGCCUCCUGAGUCACUGGUGCCUUUGCUGCUGCCGCUGCCACUGCUGUUGGUGGUGUUGCUCCCUGAGGCACUGGGAGGGCAGGCACCUCUGACACGCCCAGGGUUGCCUGGGUCGUGGGCUGUGCCACCACAGGAGGAGGUGGGGGAAAGCCAGGAUCCUGGGUGCCUCUGCUUCAUCUGGGGUUAUUGGGUGACACUGCUGUGGGCGAUGAGGGGAUGGGGGCAGACUCACGGGUGUAUCUGUAGCUGGAGGUUUGGGGACGCAGGCCCCUGUGCCACUGCUGCCAGUUUCACCCUGACCGCAGGCACUGCUGUAGGUAGGACGCUGGAGUCUCGUGCACUGCCUCCCCUACUGCUACUUGUGUUCUCCUGGGCUCAGCUGCUGCAGCCAGGGGUGCUAAAAUCAUAGGCACCUCCUCUGGGGGGCGUAGUCCACUCACCUUUAGAUGUACAGAUGUAUGGAAUUCUCUGGUGUUCUGGUUUAAUGAGCAGAGGAACCUCUGUUGCUAUGGAUGUUUUACUGGAUGUAGAUUGAAAGGGAGUGUCUCAUGCCGCCAUGAUGUUGACGUCACUCCCAGCUUAUGUCUACUUGAAUUUCAUAAAUUAAGAGGACUUAAUUGGUUAUCUUUGUGUAUUUUUAGUACUGGUAUAAUACCUUGAAAAGAUUGCAGUAAGUGUCAUAAAUGUCAUUCUUUGUAGAAGUUGAGGGCUUAUUUAAGUUUCGUUGUAUUUCUUCCUUUUCUCUAUAUGUUCUCCCCUAAAUCACCCAAAAUACCUAAUUUCCUUUUUAAAGGUAACUCAGAAUUGUCAGCAGUUCAUUCAAAAUUUAUCUUAAACAUCAAUAGUUUUUAAAAAUACUUAGUUUCUUUGUUAUUAAAGUUAAGAAAUGAUGGAAUUCCCUGGCGGUCCAGUGGUUAGGAUAAUAGGGUUACUUUCAACUGACCAUACUUUCCUAGUCUCCAGAUUAAUAUUUUGUUGAAUUCUUACAAAAUGUUUAUUUUGUGCUAUUUAAAUUGCUAUUAUAUGCCCAGUUCUACUGUUUGGCUUUUACUCAAGACAUUCAUAUAGCUAUUUCUUAUUCUUUUUUAUUGCCAGGGGUGAUGUACUGUAAAUCGUUUAACCAUCCCUGCUUGUUGACCCUGAGAUUGUUUACAGGUUUUGUGUCAUGUAAUUAAUACAGUAGCAUCCUUGAAAAUAUACUUGUAGAGAGAUGUCUACACUGCAGUUUCCUGUAAGGGACUACUAGCUGACUUAAAGAGUUUGUGAGUUGUGUCUCUUACAAGUUUUGGUAUUGCCAAAAUAUUUUCCUAAACACGUGGUGCCAACAUAAAACUCCCAUCAACUGGUUGUGAAUGCUCUUUUCCCCUGUACUGCACCAAUACUUAAGUACUAUCAAUCUUUAAAAUUUUAGUCAGUCUAAAGUGGAAAAGUGGGUUAAGAGUAUGAAUUGCCUGGAUUUAACGCUCAGUUCAGCUGAAAAUUGACUUGGUGGUUUGGGGGAAGUUAAACUCUCUGUACCUGCUUUUUUAUUUAUAAAAUGGCAUGCUGUUAAUCACUUUCCUGAUAGGAUUUGUUGUAAGGUGAAAAUGAGAUGACGUGUAGUCGUUGUUUUGCAUGUUUGUGGUUUGAAGAGUGCAAUCUUCCCCCCACCCCCUGCCUCUUCCUGGCUUGCGGGAUCUUAGUUCCCUGACCAGGGAUCGAACCCGGGACCACGGCAGUGAAGGCACCGAAUCCUAACCACUGGGCCACCAGGGAAGUCCUUGAAGAGUACAAUCUUAAUCCUUCUGUCUUCUUAUGAUCCCUUCAGACCCACUGUGGAUGUGGUCUUUUCUUGUCAUUGGAAGAAAUCUCAUGCGGGUUCCGUUCGUUUUUCUGAUUAUGCUUGGGUAAUAAAAAGCUCCCCAAUCUCAUGUAGUCAUAAAAAUAAUCUCAUUUUAACAUUUUAUUAAUUUCAUUAAGUAUUUAUCUCUUAAUCAAUUUAAAUUGUACUAUUAGAUGAAUUUUGACAGAUGCUCACAACCAUGAAAUCGCCAACACAAUCAAGAUACAGAACACGCCCACCACCUCCCAUAAGUUUCCUCCUGCGGGGUUGCAGUUCAUCCUUUCCUCCAGCCCCAGACACUGGCAACCGCUGUUCUGUAUUCUCUUUUAAUGUAUUGAUAAGAUUGGUUUGCAUUUUCUACGAUUUUAUAUAAAUGGAAUCAUACAUACAUG
This 3785-nucleotide transfer RNA is filed under the name Phocoena sinus (vaquita). RNAcentral's name for it is "lncRNA (ENSPSNG00000010642.1)". The record is from RNAcentral. Lineage: Eukaryota; Metazoa; Chordata; Mammalia; Artiodactyla; Phocoenidae.